UUAUGGCCAUAUCAAGUUGAAAAACCCGUUCUCGUACGAUCACCGAAGUUAAGCAACGCCGGGACUGGUCAGUACCUAGAUGGGUAACCACUUAGCAAUACCAGGUGCUGUAAG
Acanthosepion pharaonis is the source of this 114-nucleotide non-coding RNA. The record is from the annotation of a GenBank genome assembly. Lineage: Eukaryota; Metazoa; Mollusca; Cephalopoda; Sepiida; Sepiidae.